Molecule: small RNA, 289 nt
Filed under: pig gut metagenome
Description: 5' ureB small RNA
Rfam family: 5' ureB small RNA
Source: RNAcentral
UUUCAAUCUGUGUAGGACUGAUAAAGUGAAUGUGGGUAUCAUUCCCUCCGGCAGUAACAAUAAGUCCCUCUCCGGCAAUUGCCUCGGUUGAUGCACCAAAAACGAGUGAGGGGGUAACGCCGUCCAUGAUAUCGGGAUUUCCUGAUUUUCCGAUACCGCAUAUUUUUCCGUCCUUUAUGCCGAUAUCCGCUUUAUAUAUGCCGGUGUAAUCUAUAAUAAGUGCAUUGGUAAUAACUGUGUCAGGGCAUUCGCUGUCCGGUACGCUGCAUGACUGUCCCAUUCCGUCACG